This is a long non-coding RNA of Homo sapiens (human), 1671 nucleotides long. Ensembl annotates it as long intergenic non-protein coding RNA 343. The record is from Ensembl. NCBI's taxonomy places the organism in Eukaryota, Metazoa, Chordata, Mammalia, Primates, Hominidae.
GCUUUAGGAGUGUGUUCACUGGGCAAAGGGAACAAAGAGGCACUUGGCUCACCCUAGAUCAAGAGGAGAGGCUCUCCAGAUUUGCUGACCUAGAAGGAUAAGUCUGAAAGUAGGAGGGUGGGGAGAGCCAGAUGAACAAGGGAGGUGAAAACGUGAUCUAGGGAGGCAUCCGAGUGAGCAAAGGCACGAGUGAGCCUGGUACACUUCUGGGCAGGCAGAAGGAAGGCAGUUAGGCUGUUAGGAAGGCAGUUAGGCUGCAGUGAAUUCUACAAAGAGGCUAUGGGAAAGAAACCUGGAAAGUACCCUUGGCUGUGUACAUUUGAGUAAAGAGAGCACUAUAAAAUCAAAAACCAAUGAAAUGGUUUCCAGAACACAGAACUAUUAAGCUUAAGAAAAGGACAGAAGGAACUGAAGAGAGAGGAACUGUUUUGGAGCAUCACACUUCCACCUCAGAAGAAAUAAGGAAGGAAGGAGGAGGGUGUUCCCACGGCUCUUCAACCAGGCCGGCUCUUCAGCCUACAUCCCCAUCUCAUCAAGUAAAAGGGAUUUUUCAACUGGACCAACCAGAUGGUUUAACAGUGCACUCCCACACCAUUCAACUACGCAAGGGAGAUACACUUAACAUAUGCAGUCGUAUAACACCUACUAACAUUUUCAAACAUUAAACCUUUAAAAAAGAGUUCUAAAGAAAUAGAAGCUUGAAGUAUCAUCUCUCAAGUAUAUAGACACUACUUCAUGGUGUGGUAAUAUAUGCAUAUAGAAGCUAGUAAACACCUCCAGGAGAUGCAAAAGGAAUUAGAACUGCCACAAGGUGCAAGCAAAACCUUGAGGUAAUCAAUCUGCAUCCCAUUUUGGAUGAGAAUAUUUGCAACUUUGAAGGUUAUUUUAAGGACAGCAGCAGAAGAAUUAUGGCAGCUCUUCACGGAAAAAAAAAUGGCAACAAUAAAAUCAGCAACUCCUGCCAAAUAAAUGGGCAUAAAAAAGAAAUCAUAGACUGCUGGCAAUGGUGGGGAAAAAGUUAUAAAAAUUGUCUCUGCACCAUCUUCCUUUUGUCCUCUAAAAUAUUCACAUUAGCAAAAGUAUAUAACAGCUGAUGAAGAAAUACUGAUAAUUUGUCUUUCUUCUUUAAAAUAUGAAGACUUCGAAGUUAUUUAUCCAAACCAACCUGAUCAUUUCUUAAGAGUGAAUAUACCUUGGAAGACGUGUCCUGCCUUUAGUAGCGUCACAAUGGAUUACAUCCUCUAUAAAGCAGUCUGGGGUGAGAAAAUCGAAUUUGGACACCGUUGAGGAGACUAUUGCAGUCAUCCAAGCUCAAGAUGGUGGAGCUUCAUCCUUGAGAAUAACCAAUGGGGAUAGAUUUAAGAGACACUUAGAGUCUGCAGCCAACAGGGCUGAAUGAGCAGAGAGUUAUGAUUCAGAAGAUCAUCUAAAAUUGAACAGCUGCCACUACUGGCAAUAAGUCUACUGCCAUUUGGUAGAUAACCUUCUUAUCACACAGAAAAAUAUCAGUACAGACAAAUAGACCGCAAAGAAAAUGAGACCAUCAGCAAAGAAGAUAAAGAAGUUUGUACAAAGCAACUUUUUAUAAAUGGAUGGCUGUCAGGCAAAAAUAAAUUUCCUGUGGACAAGACCAAGAGCAAGGCAAGAGGAAAAUAAACAUGUUUAAACUAU